Molecule: ribosomal RNA, 490 nt
Filed under: uncultured bacterium
Lineage: Bacteria
Description: partial 16S ribosomal RNA
Rfam family: Bacterial small subunit ribosomal RNA
Source: RNAcentral
GAUGAACGCUAGCGAUAGGCUUAACACAUGCAAGUCGAGGGGCAGCAUGGUCUUAGCUUGCUAAGACUGUUGGCGACCGGCGCACGGGUGCGUAACGCGUAUGCAACUUGCCUCACAGAGGGGGAUAACCCGUCGAAAGACGGACUAAUACCGCGUACACUUGGGAUAGGGCAUCCUGACCCAAGGAAAUGAAAUUCGCUGUGAGAUAGGCAUGCGUCCCAUUAGCUAGUUGGUGAGGUAACGGCUCACCAAGGCGACGAUGGGUAGGGGAACUGAGAGGUUGAACCCCCACACUGGUACUGAGACACGUACCAGACUCCUACGGGAGGCAGCAGUGAGGAAUAUUGGUCAAUGGGCGAGAGCCUGAACCAGCCAAGUCGCGUGAAGGAUGACUGUCUUAUGGAUUGUAAACUUCUUUUAUACGGGAAUAACAAGAGUCACGUGUGGCUCCCUGCAUGUACCGUAUGAAUAAGCAUCGGCUAACUCCGUG